This 458-nucleotide long non-coding RNA is filed under the name Androctonus crassicauda. Lineage: Eukaryota; Metazoa; Arthropoda; Arachnida; Scorpiones; Buthidae. The record is from RNAcentral.
GUAGAAACCUAUAAAGCAUCACAGCCACAGGGGCUUGCUCCAGAGACGGGUAUAGUGCAUCGAAGUCUAUUAUUGCAUACUUUUCUUCUGUUUUAAUGGGCCAACCUCCAAUAACAUUGAUAUGGAGAGAAAAAGACUACAGCGACGAAUUUGUGGAGGACAUGACGGAUGGAGCGUUGGGUCUGGCAUUGCGAGGGGAGCAGAGCGGUGGGGGGGCCUUCCAUUUCUUAGAUGUGCGGAUUGCUGCAGAGGCGGGGGAUUGCGUUGCGGACAUGUGCAGGGGGCCCACGUGCCAACCAGUGGUCGUGCUGGCUGCAUUUCGGGCGAUGGUCGCUGGAGCGUUCACGCGCGUUGCCGGGUGGAGGGAGGGGAAGAGGGAGAUGGGUUGUGUCUUGGAUAUGGGUGUCAGGUGUGGAUGCAAUAGGAGAAUGUUAGAGAGGCUGGUGGACAGAAUUGGG